AUGAAACCAACCGGAAGGGGAAGGGCACAUUCUCUUGGACCUUUGUAUUAGCCCUCAAUGCCUGGAAAAGCGUAGGGGAAGCUAACCAGAUUUAGAUACCUGGUUAGUUCCACGCCCUUAAACGAAGUCCAUAUGGUUGUUGGGAGGGUUUAUUCUUCAGUAACGUAGCAAACGCCGUGAAGUUGAUCGCCUUGAGAAGUACGGCGGCAAGGAUGAAACUCAAAGGAAUUGACGGGGACCCGCACAAGCGGUGGAUGAUGUGGUUUAAUUCGAUGCAACGCGAAAAACCCUUACCUACCCUCGACAUGUCUGGAAUCCUGAAGAGAUUCGGGAGUGCUCGAAAGAGAGCCAGAACACAGGUGCUGCAUGGCCGUCGUCAGCUCGUGUCGUGAGAUGUUGGGUUAAGUCCCGCAACGAGCGCAACCCUUGUCAUUAGUUGCUACGAAAGGGCACUCUAAUGAGACUGCCGGUGACAAACCGGAGGAAGGUGGGGAUGACGUCAGGUCAUCAUGGCCCUUAUGGGUAGGGCUACACACGUCAUACAAUGGCCGGGACAGAGGGCUGCCAACCCGCGAGGGGGAGCUAAUCCCAGAAACCCGGUCGUAGUCCGGAUCGUAGUCUGCAACUCGACUGCGUGAAGUCGGAAUCGCUAGUAAUCGCGGAUCAGCUUGCCGCGGUGAAUACGUUCCCGGGUCUUGUACACACCGCCCGUCACACCAUGGGAGCGGGUUCUGCCAGAAGUAGUUAGCCUAACCGCAAGGGGGGCGAUUACCACGGCAGGGUUCGUGACUGGGGUGAAGUCGUAACAAGG
RNAcentral lists this ribosomal RNA (811 nucleotides) under uncultured bacterium. Its description in RNAcentral is "bacterial SSU rRNA". It matches the Rfam family "Bacterial small subunit ribosomal RNA", at positions 691 to 1496 of the family's 1533-position model. The record is from RNAcentral.